ACAAGAUUGAGAAGGUUUGUCAACUUUUGGAGGUUUUUAAUGAUGUCACUCAUGUUAUCUCAGUGAAUUCAAUGUUGAAAGCACCACUGUGGGUGAUGGUGUACGACAAAUGGAUAAAGGGAUGCAAGAGUUAUUGAGUAUGGUAUACCAAAGUCAAUCAAUUCUUCUUACGAAAUCAAAGUUGGAGACUUAUCUUGAGGAAAAUAUUUUUAUUCCUACUUCUUCUUCAUCUUUUUGUGUCUUGGAGUGGUGGAAUGAUAAUAGUGUAAAGUUUAAAGUUUUAUAAAAAAUGGUUGUUGAUAUACUAGUUGUACCUGUUUCAAGUGUGGCAUCUGAAUCCACAUUUAGUGCUAGGGGAAGGGUGAUUUAUGAAUAUCGUGCUAGUUUAAAUGAACUAUAUAUUGAAGCUCUUAUUUGUGGUGGGAAUUGACUUCGUAACAAGUAUGGGUUGAAGAAAAAAUAAACGGUAAGAAUCUUAUUUUAUAUUACUACUUGAACUUGUAAAUUUAUAAUGGACUUAGUUAUUUAUUCUCAAUUUUUUCAUUGUAUAGUUAGAUUCUGAACAAGAGGAGAUUAUGUUGAAGCUAUGACUUGUUUCAUUUUAUGUUUGAAUACUAUUACGUUUACAUUGUUGUUAUUAA
Long non-coding RNA from Ipomoea nil (Japanese morning glory), 641 nucleotides. RefSeq lists it as uncharacterized. The transcript has 2 exons. Lineage: Eukaryota; Viridiplantae; Streptophyta; Magnoliopsida; Solanales; Convolvulaceae. The record is from RefSeq and is a predicted model, not a curated record.